Molecule: ribosomal RNA, 497 nt
Filed under: uncultured bacterium
Lineage: Bacteria
Description: partial 16S ribosomal RNA
Rfam family: Bacterial small subunit ribosomal RNA
Source: RNAcentral
GAUGAACGCUGGCGGCGUGCCUAAUACAUGCAAGUCGAGCGAACAGAUGAGGAGCUUGCUCCUCUGACGUUAGCGGCGGACGGGUGAGUAACACGUGGAUAACCUACCUAUAAGACUGGGAUAACUUCGGGAAACCGGAGCUAAUACCGGAUAAUAUAUUGAACCGCAUGGUUCAAUAGUGAAAGACGGUUUUGCUGUCUUUUAUAGAUGGAUCCGCGCCGCAUUAGCUAGUUGGUAAGGUAACGGCUUACCAAGGCAACGAUGCGUAGCCGACCUGAGAGGGUGAUCGGCCACACUGGAACUGAGACACGGUCCAGACUCCUACGGGAGGCAGCAGUAGGGAAUCUUCCGCAAUGGGCGAAAGCCUGACGGAGCAACGCCGCGUGAGUGAUGAAGGUCUUCGGAUCGUAAAACUCUGUUAUUAGGGAAGAACAAAUGUGUAAGUAACUAUGCACGUCUUGACGGUACCUAAUCAGAAAGCCACGGCUAACUACGUG